AGUGAACGCUGGCGGUAGGCCUAACACAUGCAAGUCGAACGGCAGCACAGUAAGAGCUUGCUCUUACGGGUGGCGAGUGGCGGACGGGUGCGGAAUACAUCGGAAUCUUCUUUUUCGUGGGGGAUAACGUAGGGAAACUUACGCUAAUACCGCAUACGACCUACGGGUGAAAGCAGGGGAUCUUCGGACCUUGCGCGAUUGAAUGAGCCGAUGUCGGAUUAGCUAGUUGGCGGGGUAAAGGCCCACCAAGGCGACGAUCCGUAGCUGGUCUGAGAGGAUGAUCAGCCACACUGGAACUGAGACACGGUCCAGACUCCUACGGGAGGCAGCAGUGGGGAAUAUUGGACGAUGGGCGCAAGCCUGAUCCAGCCAUACCGCGUGGGUGAAGAAGGCCUUCGGGUUGUAAAGCCCUUUUGUUGGGAAAGAAGAGCAGCAGGUUAACACCCCGCUGUUCUGACGGUACCCAAAGAAUAAGCACCGGCUAACUUCGUG
Molecule: ribosomal RNA, 492 nt
Filed under: uncultured bacterium
Lineage: Bacteria
Description: partial 16S ribosomal RNA
Rfam family: Bacterial small subunit ribosomal RNA
Source: RNAcentral